CCUACAGAAGCAUAAAAUACCUACUCUCGUGGAAAACCUCGUUGGCAAACUCGUCUUUCAUCAACCAGAGAACCCUACCUCCUUCCUGGUAUCGGAGCUGGAGAAACUGAUCAAGCUGCGCUCCAACACGGAACAGGAUGCGCCGAGCCUCUUCACAGACGAGAACAUUGUGGCCCUCUUCGAGCAGUACGACGUUAACCGCACUGGCGUCAUCUCGGCCAAGCAGUACAGCGACGCCUUCAAGACGCUCAGUCUACCACUCACAGUGACACCGGAGGUCCACUGUACCAAAGCCCAGUUUCUGGAUGACGUGCGGGCCAGUCUAAAACUGAAGGCGUGCGCCUUCUACUAGCGGAGAGCAGGUCGGAUCUAGGCAGUGGCAUGGCCCCUGAAACACGGAAGCUUCCGUCAGCGACAGCACACGGUUGCCGACGCACUAACGACGCGUCCAGUGUUCCCGUCAGCGGCUGUGGACGCGGUUAUGGUAUCCCUAAAUGCAUGCUGUUGCGCAAAGGUUAUUCUCACAAUGUCGUGACCAUAAGCAUCUAUAAGAUCUUCCAGCGUUACUUGCAAUGCACUUGCAAUGAACGCCCUUAUCGCUUAAAAAACGAAGUGUAGAUCGAGUUCGCAUUGAUGGUUGUCGAAAUGUAGUGGUCAAAUGUAGAUGGCGU
This 671-nucleotide long non-coding RNA is filed under the name Pollicipes pollicipes. RNAcentral's name for it is "uncharacterized LOC119113001, transcript variant X2". The record is from RNAcentral. Lineage: Eukaryota; Metazoa; Arthropoda; Thecostraca; Pollicipedomorpha; Pollicipedidae.